GAUGAACGCUAGCGAUAGGCCUAACACAUGCAAGUCGAGGGGCAGCACAUGAAGUAGCAAUACGGAUGGUGGCGACCGGCGCACGGGUGAGUAACGCGUAUGCAACCUGCCUACAACAGGGGAAUAACCCGUUGAAAGACGGACUAAUACCCCAUGACACAGGGAUCCCGCAUGGGAAUAUUUGUUAAAGAUUAAUCGGUUGUAGAUGGGCAUGCGUUCCAUUAGCUUGUUGGUGAGGUAACGGCUCACCAAGGCAACGAUGGAUAGGGGGAACUGAGAGGUUUACUCCCCCACACUGGUACUGAGACACGGACCAGACUCCGUACGGGAGGCAGCAGU
RNAcentral lists this ribosomal RNA (339 nucleotides) under uncultured bacterium. RNAcentral's name for it is "bacterial SSU rRNA". It matches the Rfam family "Bacterial small subunit ribosomal RNA", at positions 28 to 355 of the family's 1533-position model. The record is from RNAcentral.